UACGUAGGGAGCAAGCGUUAUCCGGAUUUAUUGGGUGUAAAGGGUGCGUAGACGGGUUAUUAAGUUAGUUGUGAAAUCCCCAGGCUCAACUUGGGGACUGCAACUAAAACUGGUAAUCUUGAGUGCUGGAGGGGAAAGCGGAAUUCCUAGUGUAGCGGUGAAAUGCGUAGAUAUUAGGAGGAACACCAGUGGCGAAGGCGGCUUUCUGGACAGUAACUGACGUUGAGGCACGAAAGUGUGGGGAGCAAAC
This 250-nucleotide ribosomal RNA is filed under the name uncultured prokaryote. RNAcentral's name for it is "partial 16S ribosomal RNA". It matches the Rfam family "Bacterial small subunit ribosomal RNA", at positions 524 to 773 of the family's 1533-position model. The record is from RNAcentral.